UGGCAAUAUUAUGUUUCCCGCCAA
RNAcentral lists this non-coding RNA (24 nucleotides) under Arabidopsis thaliana (thale cress). The record is from RNAcentral. Lineage: Eukaryota; Viridiplantae; Streptophyta; Magnoliopsida; Brassicales; Brassicaceae.